GUGCUUACUUUGGCAGCACAUAUAAUAAAAUUGGAACAAUACAGAGAAGAUUAGCAUGGUCCCUGUGCAAGGAUAACACACAAAUUCAUGAAGCAUUCUGUAUUUUU
Molecule: small nuclear RNA, 107 nt
Organism: Cavia porcellus (domestic guinea pig)
Lineage: Eukaryota; Metazoa; Chordata; Mammalia; Rodentia; Caviidae
Source: Ensembl